Molecule: long non-coding RNA, 1827 nt
Organism: Canis lupus familiaris (dog)
Lineage: Eukaryota; Metazoa; Chordata; Mammalia; Carnivora; Canidae
Exons: 3
Source: RefSeq, a predicted model, not a curated record
UGUUGGUGAAGAUGUGAGGAAAGGGGGGCCCUCAUGCACUAUUGGUGGGAAUACAAACUGGUGCAACCACUGUGGAAACAGUAUGGCAUUUCCUCAAAAGAUUAAACAUAGGAUUACAAUAUGAUCUAAUAAGUGCAUUACUGGGUGUUGGAAAAGAGGAAAAUAAACCAAGAAAACAUAAAGCUAUAGGAAUGUGCUAAUUUAUAGUCAUCCAAUCCCUAUCCAAUGUCAACAGUGACUAAAGGCCCAAGGGAUCCCUCCUCCUGUCUGGCCUCAAGCUCUCAGCCCUCUCCAGCCUUUCCCUUCUGCUCUUCCACCCCCCUGUUUGAGGAGGAUUAAGGGUCAACAUUGGAGCUCAGAGGGUCAAGGGCAUUUACUGAGGGCCAUAGGCAAGAAAGGCCACUGACAGUCAGUGCGUGGGGCCUCUGACCAGCAGCAAGGCAGCAAUGAGAAGGGUCACAGAGGCAUACCUGGGCUCUGAGCUCAGCUCAGCCACCUGCUCACUUUGUGACCUUCAGGUCUAGUUCCUGAAUCUCUGUUUCCUCAUCUGUACAAUGAACGUCUAAGAUUUCCUUCAGAGCGCUGGUAAGCCCUGGGGAGACAAUAUACAUCAAGCGCCUAACACAGCAUCCACAUGGGAAGAGAAGACAACAUAAAACCCACCUGAGGAGCAGUUACUCCCCCAGUUACUGUUUCCCAAAGAUCUACCAUUAUCCAGAAAGGCGCUUGGAACCAUGGGAUUUGCAGGCCACCCAGAAAUCACGACGUUGAACUUUGACACAUCUACAGUCUAGCUGAAGGAUGAGGCCACUCAGCCAGCAAACAGGUGCACUGUCACGGACAGACGGUGAGUGCAAGUGUUCUCUUGCUCAAGAAUGUUUCCCCCAGAACUGGUGAGCCCUUGGCCUCUCCAGGGGUUCGAGCCGAGGCUUCACUUCAGCAGCUGGCCUUGCCAUGACUGGCACCUUCCUGAUGGCUGGACAUGAGGGCCCUGAGGUACCUCCUAGGGAGACACCUACUUCUGGUACCCUCAGGUAGGUACAUCCAGAUGCCCAGCCAACGGUCAUCAAUGGCUGCGUUCACUUCUGCAAUGUAAAGGUAAAUAUCAAGUGCCUUAGAGGGCCUGGUGCCACCAGAGCCUGCCAUCGGUGCUGGGUUAUCUUCCUAGGGCGGCUGUAACAAAUCACACAGACUUCGUGGCUUAGGACAAUAUACAUUUAUCCUCCUAUAGUCCCAGAGGUCAGAAGUCUGAAGCCAAUUCCGCUGAGCUAAAAAUCACGGCGUCAGCAGGACAGCCUUUAUUCUGUGAGCUCUGGGAAGGAAUCUCUUUCUUCACUUUUGCCAGCAUCUAAAGGCCGUCUGCACUGUUUGGCUCCUGGGUCCUCAUCACUCCGACCCCUGCUUCCACCGAUCACGUCUCCUUCUUGGACUCUGGCAUUCCUGUCUCCCUCUCAUAACGUUCUUUGCAAUUACACUCGUCUCACCUGGAUAAUCCAGGACACUCCUCCUUUCUCAUGAUCCUUAAUCACACUUGCAAAAAAUCCCUUUUGCCAGGUACCUCUUUUGCUGAGACGGAUGCCUGUAAACACUUUCUACCUAUCCCAUCCCCCAAAUGACUCUGAAAAAAUGACUCCUCUCUAGACAUUUACUUGAUCCAGCCUGCAAACAACUUGGGGAUCGAAGCACAUUUUCAUAGAAGGAAGAAGAGCAACAAAAACAGGAGACUGUUUUGGGAUUUGAAAUUGGAUUCAUUUUCCAUCAGUUCAGGAAGGAUUUCUACUCUCUAAGUUUGUAAGGCUGACUGGAAUCUCUUGUGUCAAAAUAAAU